AUUGGGCGUAAGCGCGCGCAGGCGGUUUCUUAAGUCUGAUGUGAAAGCCCCCGGCUCAACCGGGGAGGGUCAUUGGAAACUGGGGAACUUGAGUGCAGAAGAGGAGAGUGGAAUUCCACGUGUAGCGGUGAAAUGCGUAGAGAUGUGGAGGAACACCAGUGGCGAAGGCGACUCUCUGGUCUGUAACUGACGCUGAGGCGCGAAAGCGGGGG
This 212-nucleotide ribosomal RNA is filed under the name Bacillus licheniformis. RNAcentral describes it as "partial 16S ribosomal RNA". It matches the Rfam family "Bacterial small subunit ribosomal RNA", at positions 553 to 765 of the family's 1533-position model. The record is from RNAcentral. Lineage: Bacteria; Bacillati; Bacillota; Bacilli; Caryophanales; Bacillaceae.